This is a long non-coding RNA of Saccostrea echinata, 2307 nucleotides long. RefSeq lists it as uncharacterized. NCBI's taxonomy places the organism in Eukaryota, Metazoa, Mollusca, Bivalvia, Ostreida, Ostreidae. The transcript is spliced from 6 exons. The record is from RefSeq and is a predicted model, not a curated record.
UAUCUUGGCCAAGUCAGGAUUGAUAACAUGGCCAUCCUAUCUUGGCCGGUCAUCAUAUAACAUGGCCAUCCUAUCUUGGCCAAGUCAAGAUUUAUAACAUGGCCAUGCUAUCUUGACCAAGUCAGGAUUGAUAACAUGACCAUCCCAUCCUGGCCAAGUCAAGAUAACAUGACCACCCUAUCUUGACCAGGUCAUGAUUUAAUCUUGACCAAGUCAGGAUUGAUAACAUGGUCAUCCUAUCUUGGCCGGGUCAUGAUUCAAUGUUGACCAAGUCAGGAUUGACAACAUAUGCCCAUCCUAUCUUGGUCGGCCAGGAUUGCAUUGCGCCAGGAUAUAUUACUUCCAAACGCAGCCAAGAUUUCUUCAAGCGUCAAUCCUGGCCAAGUCAGGAUGUAUUUCUUCAAACGCAGCCAAGAUUUCUUCAAGCGUCAAUCCUGGCCUUGCGCCAGGAUGUAUGACUUCCAAACGCAGUCAUGAUUUAUUCAAGCGUCAAUCCUGGACAAGUCAUGAUGUAUUUCUUCAAACGCAGUCAAGAUUUGAAGUCAUGAUUGCAUUGCGCCAGGAUGUAUGACUUCCAAGCACAGUCAUGAUUCGCUUUAGUAUGAUAAUAUGUAAGCGCUUCCCUAACACUGAAAAACCGCUAAAAUGUGUAUUGGGUUUCCAGCCUUCCCGUUCAUCUCAGCUGGCAAGUAAGUACCAAGUAACAGCUAGUGAUUUGUGUGUACUGAACCAUCAACAUAUUAAACUGUCCAAGACUGGUGAUAGAUAUGUAGAUUGACGCAUGCUGACUGGGGAUUAUGAGUAUGGAUAACCAUUUUGCAGAAUUAGGAAUGUGCAGCUGAAAGUGGUCAAAGACCAAAGGCCAAGACUGAUGUCAGCUUGAAAGAAACUACUCUGUGUAUUGGAUUUGCAAGAUAAAAGAUGAUGAAUUAAAGCACCAGUUUCAAGUCCAAAGAUCAAAAAGCACCAUUUAGGUCAAGGUCAACUCCAAAUAUUGGUUAAAACCUAAUUUGUACCAACAACUGAAUCAAGAAGAGGGCAGUCUUGAUAGGACACCCAUAAAAGAGCUAAACAGGUAUAGUUUACCAAUUCCAAGUUCAAAGAGCUUGGCAAUAAAUGACACCUCUACCAGUUGCAGAAUCACCGCUCAUGUAUUGAGAGUAUUUUUUGUUUGGCCUACACAGAUGUUGAGAUGUGUAAAGAAAGAGAUCUUCACUGAAUUAUUUUUACAUAGAAAUGAUAGAAUUUAAUCUUCUCAGAUUAAGCUGUAAGCUCAAGAGAGCUUUUCUGAUCAUCCAUUGUGCAGCAUCUGUUUGUCUAUAAACUGUAAUCAUUUCAGACUUCUUCUUGAGAACCACUGGUUCCCCCUUCCAAGAGGAGAUUAUCAAGAAGGGCAAAAAUGGGUUGGGGGAAGGGAUUAUUUAAAAAUCUUUGGAAGAACCUCUUGGCCAAAUAGAUGAAAGGUUUAUGACAAAGGAUAGUGUGAAUUCUAAAUUUUUCAAAUUGUGGCGACCAUGGGUAGGCUACAAUUGAUCAUUGAUUAAUGAAGUUAAGAGAGUCUUACACGUGUUCGUGCUUUCAAUCACAUUUCGCUUUCGCACAGCUUCCUCCAUGGUUAAAUUUUCAAAUGUGGAGAACCCUGGGUAGUGUAGGUCCAAGAUGGGGAUCUAACUUCAACAUGGAAAUAUACAGGAAUUUAAAGUUUUUUGAUGUAGCAUAGAUUUUAAAUUGAUCAUUAAAUCAAAGCACAAAGGGGUAUGUUGGGACUAAAAUAGAAGGUCAGUUUUACAUAGUAAUUGAUUAGUCGAGCAUCCUCAGGGUAGUGCAAAAUUAACUUCGCUUGAAUCUUGACCCUUAGGGUGGAAUCAUAAUGGGGGAUCCAAGUUUUGCUGGGGAAUAAAGAAAAAAAUCUUGAACAAUAUUCUUUUCAAGAACAGUAGGGCCAAGACUUAUCAUGAUGCAUUUGGCCAAGUGUAAAAACUAUACAGGGGCUAAUUGUUUUCAUAAGAAUGAAGAAAUAAUUUUUUUUUGAUUUAAAAUAUUCUGAAGAAAACAGGACCAAAGUAACUCAGUUGAGCUAUGUGGCUCAUGUUUCUUUGUUUAUUGUGUAUGUGUAUAGAGUGUUGUUUUGUUUCUCAGACAAAUACUGUGUAGUAUAAAAAAAACUUUUAUUCUUGCAUUUUAGUAUUGUUUUUAAUAUCUUUAAAGGUCCUUGAUACAAGAAAGCAUUAAAUUAGAGUACUAUUUGUCUGUGUUAUAGAUAAUAUGCAUUUUACAUCUUGUAAUACAACAUUUUACUUUUUCGGU